This is a long non-coding RNA of Diabrotica virgifera virgifera (western corn rootworm), 401 nucleotides long. RefSeq lists it as uncharacterized. The transcript has 3 exons. The record is from RefSeq and is a predicted model, not a curated record. NCBI's taxonomy places the organism in Eukaryota, Metazoa, Arthropoda, Insecta, Coleoptera, Chrysomelidae.
CGUUUUUCUGUUUUUGCUGUUUGGGGUUGUACGGAGGAUAUCCAACCAAAAGUUAUUUUCACAAGAUGCAAAUGUUAACACCUCAAUUUUGUAGCGGUACUUUUUUAACAAUUGACCAUUAGCUCCGAUGAUGACAUUUAUGUCGAAAGCGCUCAGCUAAAGAAAUAAAUUAUUUACACACUUUGAUAUACUACAUUUUUUAUUUCCUCUAUUCAUUCAAGUGUGUACAAACUUAUCAGUCUUUCAACGAUUUUUUUAUUGGCUUAUUCGAUUAGACUUGUCUACGGAUUUCUUCCUAGUUUUGUCGGAAGCGGAAGUAAAACCUUCGGAAGUAAGACACAAUACUUCUUAGUUUAUUCGGAACCGCAAGUAAGACACAAUAGAUGCCUCAAUGUUGGUGA